GUGGGGAAUCUUAGACAAUGGGCGCAAGCCUGAUCUAGCCAUGCCGCGUGAUCGAUGAAGGCCUUAGGGUUGUAAAGAUCUUUCAGUGGGGAAGAUAAUGACUGUACCCACAGAAGAAGCCCCGGCUAACUCCGUGCCAGCAGCCGCGGUAAUACGGAGGGGGCUAGCGUUGUUCGGAAUUACUGGGCGUAAAGCGCACGUAGGCGGAACAGAAAGUCAGAGGUGAAAUCCCAGGGCUCAACCUUGGAACUGCCUUUGGAACUCCUGUUCUUGAGUUCGAGAGAGGUGAGUGGAAUUCCGAGUGUAGAGGUGAAAUUCGUAGAUAUUCGGAGGAACACCAGUGGCGAAGGCGGCUCACUGGCUCGAUACUGACGCUGAGGUGCGAAAGCGUGGGGAGCAAACAGGAUUAGAAACCCGAGUAGUCC
RNAcentral lists this ribosomal RNA (425 nucleotides) under uncultured bacterium. RNAcentral describes it as "partial 16S ribosomal RNA". It matches the Rfam family "Bacterial small subunit ribosomal RNA", at positions 354 to 796 of the family's 1533-position model. The record is from RNAcentral.